GCCUGGGUGGCUCAGUCGGUUAAGCAUCUGACUUCGGCUCAGGUCAUGACCUCACAGUUUGUGGGUUCAAGCCCCACGUCAGGCU
RNAcentral lists this transfer RNA (85 nucleotides) under Felis catus (domestic cat). It matches the Rfam family "tRNA". From Rfam's summary of the family: Transfer RNA (tRNA) molecules are approximately 80 nucleotides in length. Their secondary structure includes four short double-helical elements and three loops (D, anti-codon, and T loops). Further hydrogen bonds mediate the characteristic L-shaped molecular structure. tRNAs have two regions of fundamental functional importance: the anti-codon, which is responsible for specific mRNA codon recognition, and the 3' end, to which the tRNAs corresponding amino acid is attached (by aminoacyl-tRNA synthetases). tRNAs cope with the degeneracy of the genetic code in two manners: having more than one tRNA (with a specific anti-codon) for a particular amino acid; and 'wobble' base-pairing, i.e. permitting non-standard base-pairing at the 3rd anti-codon position. The record is from Rfam by way of RNAcentral. Lineage: Eukaryota; Metazoa; Chordata; Mammalia; Carnivora; Felidae. RNAcentral also lists the same sequence under 1 other name.